Molecule: ribosomal RNA, 1005 nt
Filed under: Triticum aestivum (bread wheat)
Lineage: Eukaryota; Viridiplantae; Streptophyta; Magnoliopsida; Poales; Poaceae
Description: partial small subunit ribosomal RNA
Source: RNAcentral
AUGCCUCUAAAAUAUUGGGAUGAAGCAUUUAUUACAGCAACAUAUCUCAUUAAUCGCCUUCCAAGUAAAGUUAUUGGCAACUCUACUCCUUUGGAACGUCUCUACCAUCAAAAACCAGACUACAAUUCUCUCAAAACUUUUGGGUGUGCUUGCUACCCCAACUUACGUCCGUAUAAUCAUCACAAACUUGAAUUCCGUUCCACUCAAUGUGUUUUUCUUGGCUAUAGUAAUCUACACAAGGGAUACAAGUGCCUAGAAAUUUCCACCGGACGUAUAUAUAUUUCUCGAGAUGUAGUCUUUGAUGAAACUCUCUUUCCGUUUGCCAAGCUUCAUCCCAACGCAGGCGCUCUUCUCCGUGCCGAAAUAGCACUUCUUCCGGAUCUUGACACACUAUCUGAUCACAGGGGUGAAUUAUCUGAAGCUGACCAUGUGAACAAAUCCGCAGAAAAUUGCAGCUCUAAUGAUAUUUGUACAGAUGCAGCUCAUGAUUUUAUGUGUCCAGAAACAGCCAAUAUAGCCGUUGCUGAUCGCGAUGAGGAUUUUGGCGGCAGCAGGCGAUCUGGCGCGCGAUCCCAGGCGAAUCCUGGCGCCAGCGCCAGCGCAAUCAUUGGCGCACGAUCCGAGGAGGAUCCUGCCCAGCUGCAUGCGGAGACGACGCGUGACCCGGUGGCCGAUAGCGACCGCGCGGAGCCCACCAGCCCAGGUGGGGCCGGGGGCGAAUCCCCGCUUGCCACGAGCCCACGGUCCGCGGGGGUGGCCGACCAGCCGCCCGACCGGGCGACCGCGGCUGGGUCCAGCCCACGGGCCCCGAUACGCACGUCCACCCGUGUGGAGUCUUCAGGCGACACGCGGCCCGUUUCUGCUGGUGGAACAAUCCCGAGGCCGAUCCUAUCUGCAGAAGAUCUGGUGCGCGAUCCCGCGGCCGCUGGGCGUGUGCAGGACGCUGGAUCUUCUGUGGCGGCCUCCUCUGCUGCACAAAUUAUUCCUCGACGUCACACACGGUAA